RNAcentral lists this ribosomal RNA (456 nucleotides) under uncultured bacterium. RNAcentral describes it as "bacterial SSU rRNA". It matches the Rfam family "Bacterial small subunit ribosomal RNA", at positions 923 to 1379 of the family's 1533-position model. The record is from RNAcentral.
GCACAAGCGGUGGAGCAUGUGGUUUAAUUCGACGCAACGCGAAGAACCUUACCUGGGCUCGAAAUGUAGUGGACCGGGGUAGAAAUAUCCCUUCCUAGCAAUAGGCUGCUAUAUAGGUGCUGCAUGGCUGUCGUCAGCUCGUGUCGUGAGAUGUUGGGUUAAGUCCCGCAACGAGCGCAACCCUUAUUACCAGUUGCUACCAUUUAGUUGAGCACUCUGGUGAGACCGCCUCGGAUAACGGGGAGGAAGGCGGGGAUGACGUCAAGUCCUCAUGGCCUUUAUGUCCAGGGCUACACACGUGCUACAAUGGCCGGUACAAACCGUCGCAAACCCGCGAGGGGGAGCUAAUCGGAAAAAGCCGGCCUCAGUUCGGAUUGCAGUCUGCAACUCGACUGCAUGAAGCUGGAAUCGCUAGUAAUCGCGGAUCAGAACGCCGCGGUGAAUACGUUCCCGGGC